GCUGGGCGUGGUGGUGGGCGCCUGUAGUCCCAGCUACUUGGAGGCUGAGGCAGGAGAAUUGUUUGAACCCAGGAGGCAGAGGUUGCAGUGAGCCAAGAUCGCACCACUGCACUCCAGCCUGGGCAACAGAGCGAGACUCUGUCUCAA
This 147-nucleotide non-coding RNA is filed under the name Nomascus leucogenys (northern white-cheeked gibbon). Lineage: Eukaryota; Metazoa; Chordata; Mammalia; Primates; Hylobatidae. The record is from Rfam by way of RNAcentral.